Molecule: long non-coding RNA, 245 nt
Organism: Dendronephthya gigantea
Lineage: Eukaryota; Metazoa; Cnidaria; Anthozoa; Malacalcyonacea; Nephtheidae
Exons: 3
Source: RefSeq, a predicted model, not a curated record
UUCUCUUCGGCAUUGCAAUUGAAAAUGCUGUCAUUUAUUAUCCCUUCUUUGCUUGCCUGACGACGUAUCACAAAAUAAUUGGAGCAAUGAUGGGCCUUCCAUAUUGUAUAGUCAAUUUUUGUGUAAAUUUAACACAAAGUUUUCAGAAAUGUCGGAAUUAUUCUUCAACCGGUUUCGCAGUAAUCAUAAUGAGCAGUUUGCCAAUCGUGAUAAACCAUUUGUUUAUCCUGGGAAAGUUCAUAUUC